RNAcentral lists this ribosomal RNA (783 nucleotides) under Vibrio cholerae. Its description in RNAcentral is "partial 23S ribosomal RNA". It matches the Rfam family "Bacterial large subunit ribosomal RNA", at positions 717 to 1506 of the family's 2925-position model. The record is from RNAcentral. Lineage: Bacteria; Pseudomonadati; Pseudomonadota; Gammaproteobacteria; Vibrionales; Vibrionaceae.
GAAACCGGGUGAUCUAGCCAUGGGCAGGUUGAAGGUUGAGUAACAUCAACUGGAGGACCGAACCGACUAAUGUUGAAAAAUUAGCGGAUGACUUGUGGCUAGGGGUGAAAGGCCAAUCAAACUCGGAGAUAGCUGGUUCUCCCCGAAAGCUAUUUAGGUAGCGCCUCGGACGAAUACUACUGGGGGUAGAGCACUGUUAAGGCUAGGGGGUCAUCCCGACUUACCAACCCUUUGCAAACUCCGAAUACCAGUAAGUACUAUCCGGGAGACACACGGCGGGUGCUAACGUCCGUCGUGGAGAGGGAAACAACCCAGACCGCCAGCUAAGGUCCCAAAGUAUUGCUAAGUGGGAAACGAUGUGGGAAGGCUCAGACAGCUAGGAUGUUGGCUUAGAAGCAGCCAUCAUUUAAAGAAAGCGUAAUAGCUCACUAGUCGAGUCGGCCUGCGCGGAAGAUGUAACGGGGCUAAGCAAUACACCGAAGCUGCGGCAAUGCCUUUUAGGUAUUGGGUAGGGGAGCGUUCUGUAAGCCGUUGAAGGUGGUCUGUAAGGGCUGCUGGAGGUAUCAGAAGUGCGAAUGCUGACAUGAGUAACGACAAAGGGGGUGAAAAACCUCCUCGCCGGAAGACCAAGGGUUCCUGUCCAACGUUAAUCGGGGCAGGGUGAGUCGACCCCUAAGGUGAGGCCGAAAGGCGUAAUCGAUGGGAAACGGGUUAAUAUUCCCGUACUUCUGACUAUUGCGAUGGGGGGACGGAGAAGGCUAGGUGGGCCAGGCGACGGUUGUC